CUUUUUUUUUUUUUUUUUUUUUUUUUUUUUUUUUUUUUCCCGUCGCGAGAAAUCUUGACAAAUGCAGUAA
RNAcentral lists this non-coding RNA (70 nucleotides) under Alexandrium minutum. Lineage: Eukaryota; Dinophyceae; Gonyaulacales; Pyrocystaceae. The record is from RNAcentral.